RNAcentral lists this ribosomal RNA (542 nucleotides) under uncultured archaeon. RNAcentral's name for it is "bacterial SSU rRNA". It matches the Rfam family "Bacterial small subunit ribosomal RNA", at positions 509 to 1050 of the family's 1533-position model. The record is from RNAcentral.
CAGCAGCCGCGGUGACACGUAGGCACCAAGCGUUAUCCGGAUUUAUUGGGCGUAAAGAGCUCGUAGGCGGUUUGGUAAGUCGGGUGUGAAAACUUAGGGCUCAACCCUGAGAGGCCACUCGAUACUGCUAUGACUAGAGUACGGUAGGGGAGCGGGGAAUUCAUGGUGUAGCGGUGAAAUGCGCAGAUAUCAUGAGGAACACCAGCGGCGAAGGCGCCGCUCUGGGCCGUAACUGACGCUGAGGAGCGAAAGCAUGGGUAGCAAACAGGAUUAGAUACCCUGGUAGUCCAUGCCGUAAACGUUGGGCACUAGGUGUGGGUCUCAACCAACGAGAUCCGCGCCGUCGCUAACGCAUUAAGUGCCCCGCCUGGGGAGUACGGUCGCAAGACUAAAACUCAAAGGAAUUGACGGGGGCCCGCACAAGCAGCGGAGCGUGUUGCUUAAUUCGAUGCAACGCGAAGAACCUUACCUGGGUUUGACAUGUACCGAAAAGCUCUAGAGAUAGGGUGUCCUUCGGGGCGGUACACAGGAGGUGCAUGGCC